This 1314-nucleotide ribosomal RNA is filed under the name metagenome. RNAcentral's name for it is "bacterial LSU rRNA". It matches the Rfam family "Bacterial large subunit ribosomal RNA", at positions 1599 to 2925 of the family's 2925-position model. The record is from RNAcentral.
UCCAUGCUUCCAAGAAAAGCAUCUAGAGAGAGAAGUAGUGCCCGUACCGCAAACCGACACAGGUAGAUGAGGAGAGAAUCCUAAGGCCGGCGGAAGAAUUGCAGUUAAGGAACUAGGCAAAUUGACCCCGUAAGUUCGCGAGAAGGGGUGCCUGCGAGAGCAGGCCGCAGAGAAUAGGCCCAAGCAACUGUUUAGCAAAAACACAGGUCUCUGCUAAAGCGCAAGCUGAUGUAUAGGGGCUGGCGCCUGCCCGGUGCUGGAAGGUUAAGGGGAACACUUAGCGCAAGCGAAGGUGUGAACUUAAGCCCCAGUAAACGGCGGCCGUAACAAUAACGGUCCUAAGGUAGCGAAAUUCCUUGUCAGGUAAGUUCUGACCCGCACGAAUGGCGUAAUGACUUGGGCACUGUCUCAACUGCAAAUCCGGCGAAGUUGUAGUGCGAGUGAAGAUGCUCGCUACCCGCGAUUGGACGGAAAGACCCCGUAGAGCUUUACUGCAGCUUAGCAUUGAAUUCCGGUAUUGUCUGUACAGGAUAGGUGGGAGACUGGGAAACUAGGGCGUCAGCCUUAGUGGAGUCAACCUUGGGAUACCACCCUGACAGUACUGGGGUUCUAACAGGACGCCAUGAAUCUGGUGACUGGACAUUGUUAGGUGGGCAGUUUGACUGGGGCGGUCGCCUCCUAAAAAGUAACGGAGGCGCCCAAAGGUUCCCUCAGAACGGUCGGAAAUCGUUCGUAGAGUGCAAAGGCAUAAGGGAGCCUGACUGCGAGACCUACAAGUCGAGCAGGGACGAAAGUCGGGCUUAGUGAUCCGGUGGUACCUCGUGGGAGGGCCAUCGCUCAACGGAUAAAAGCUACCUCGGGGAUAACAGGCUGAUCUCCCCCAAGAGUCCACAUCGACGGGGAGGUUUGGCACCUCGAUGUCGGCUCGUCGCAUCCUGGGGCUGUAGUAGGUCCCAAGGGUUGGGCUGUUCGCCCAUUAAAGCGGCACGCGAGCUGGGUUCAGAACGUCGUGAGACAGUUCGGUCCCUAUCCGUCGCGGGCGUAGGAAAUUUGAGAGGAGCUGUCCUUAGUACGAGAGGACCGGGAUGGACUGACCUCUGGUGCACCAGUUGUUCCGCCUGGAGCAUGGCUGGGUAGCUAAGUCGGGAAGGGAUAAACGCUGAAAGCAUCUAAGCGUGAAGCCUCCCUCAAGAUGAGAUUUCCCAUAGCAUAAGCUAGUAAGACCCCUUGAAGAACACAAGGUUGAUAGGUCAGAGGUGUAAGUGCGGUAACGUAUGUAGCUGACUGAUACUAAUAGGUCGAGGGCUUGACCAA